Molecule: ribosomal RNA, 319 nt
Filed under: Sneathia sanguinegens
Lineage: Bacteria; Fusobacteriati; Fusobacteriota; Fusobacteriia; Fusobacteriales; Leptotrichiaceae
Description: bacterial SSU rRNA
Rfam family: Bacterial small subunit ribosomal RNA
Source: RNAcentral
AACGUGUAAAGAACUUACCAUAUAGACUGGGAUAACAGAGGGAAACUUCUGAUAAUACUGGAUAAGUUANGUAGUAGCAUUACUAAGUAAUGAAAGGUAGCAAUACGCUAUAUGAGAGCUUUGCAUCCUAUUAGCUAGUUGGUGGGGUAAAAGCCUACCAAGGCGAUGAUAGGUAGCCGGCCUGAGAGGGUGGACGGCCACAAGGGGACUGAGAUACGGCCCUUACUCCUACGGGAGGCAGCAGUGGGGAAUAUUGGACAAUGGAGGCAACUCUGAUCCAGCAAUUCUGUGUGUGUGAAGAAGNUUUUAGGACUGUAAA